GAAUACAGGAACUCAAGAUGUGGGUUGAAAAUGGUGUGUGAAGAAGUGGUAAUAAGAGAUGAGAAAGGUGAGAUAUUUUCACAAAAAGGUGGAGGAAAAGAAGAAAGCUUAAUAAUUGAAGAAAAGUAGAAGGCUGGAAAAACUCCCUUAAAUUUGCUUGAAUGUUGUAGAAUGAUGGAAGUGGAAGGUGCCUUCAAUAGCACUUCUUGUGUAUGUAGGACAUUUUACUUCUCCUUUUCUCUCACAAGUUCUUCUUUUUCUUUCUUUUCAUUUUCCUCUCUUUCUUUUCUCUCAUUUUCUACUUUUGCUCUCUCUUCUCUUUUUGUCCUUUCUUCUUGUACUCUCUCCUCUUGUUUAUCUUGAAUGUCCUUAUUUAAACAAUGAAGCAUGUCAUUCUCAU
RNAcentral lists this long non-coding RNA (400 nucleotides) under Vigna radiata. RNAcentral describes it as "long non-coding RNA (VRAD_LNC015138)". The record is from RNAcentral. Lineage: Eukaryota; Viridiplantae; Streptophyta; Magnoliopsida; Fabales; Fabaceae.